This 1536-nucleotide ribosomal RNA is filed under the name metagenome. RNAcentral's name for it is "bacterial SSU rRNA". It matches the Rfam family "Bacterial small subunit ribosomal RNA". The record is from RNAcentral.
AGAGUUUGAUCCUGGCUCAGAACGAACGCUGGCGGCGUGGAUUAGGCAUGCAAGUCGAACGAGAACCUUAGGAUUCAAUUCUUCGGAAAAGAUUCCUUUGGAGAGAGUGGCGAAAGGGUGAGUAACGCGUGGGCAAUUUGCCCUUAAGUUGGGGAUAGCCACUGGAAACGGUGGAUAAUACCGAAUGUGGUCGUACAUCGCAUGAUGUACUGUCUAAAGACGGGGAUCUUCGGACCUGUCGCUUGAGGAUGAGCCCGCGUCCCAUCAGCUUGUUGGUAGGGUAACGGCCUACCAAGGCUCACGGGUAGCUGGUCUGAGAGGAUGGUCAGCCACACUGGGACUGAGACACUGCCCAGACUCCUACGGGAGGCUGCAGUCGAGAAUCAUUCGCAAUGCGCGAAAGCGUGACGAUGCGACGCCGCGUGUAGGAUGACGGCCUUCGGGUUGUAAACUACUGACAUGGGGGAACAACCACCCGAGUGUUAAUAGCACUUGGGCCUGAUGGUACCCCAAGAGGAAGCCACGGCUAACUCUGUGCCAGCAGCCGCGGUAAUACAGAGUGGCGAGCGUUGUUCGGAUUUACUGGGCGUAAAGGGUGCGUAGGCGGUUUUGUAUGUCGGAUGUGAAAUCUCACUUUUCAUGGGUGAAACUGCAUUCGAAACUGCAGAGCUAGAGUACGGAAGAGGAGAGCGGAAUUCUUGGUGUAGCGGUGAAAUGCGUAGAUAUCAAGAGGAACACCGGUGGCGAAGGCGGCUCUCUGGAACGAUACUGACGCUGAGGCACGAAAGCUGGGGGAGCAAACAGGAUUAGAUACCCUGGUAGUCCCAGCCGUAAACGGUGUGCACUUGGUGUAGGUCGGUUUGUCCCGAUCUGUGCCGGAGCUAACGCUUUAAGUGCACCGCCUGGGGAGUACGGUCGCAAGGCUAAAACUCAAAGGAAUUGACGGGGGCCCGCACAAGCGGUGGAGCAUGUGGCUUAAUUCGAUGCAACGCGAAGAACCUUACCUGGGCUUGACAUGUAACUGCAUUCCUUCCGAAAGGAGGGAAGCCUUCGAGGGUGUUACACAGGUGCUGCAUGGCUGUCGUCAGCUCGUGCCGUGAGGUGUUGGGUUAAGUCCCGCAACGAGCGCAACCCUUGUGAUUAGUUGCUAGUGUUUCAGAGAUGGAGCAAGCACUCUAAUCAGACUGCCUGUUAUAAGCAGGAGGAAGGUGGGGAUGACGUCAAGUCAGUAUGGUCCUUAUGCCCAGGGCUGCACACGUGCUACAAUGGGCGGUACAGAGGGACGCAAGACCGCGAGGUGGAGCAAAUCCCCAAAACCGUCCUAAGUUCGGAUCGAAGUCUGCAACUCGACUUCGUGAAGUUGGAAUCGCUAGUAAAGGCGUAUCAGCUACGACGCCUUGAAUACGUUCCCGGGCCUUGUACACACCGCCCGUCACAUCACGAAAGCCGAUUGCACCCGAAGUCGCUGAUCUAACCCGCAAGGGAAGAAGGUGCCGAAGGUGUGAUUGGUGAUUGGGAUGAAGUCGUAACAAGGUA